AACUUCUUCGCAAGGAAUGGUAAGACCCAUCUCAUGUUUAAAGCCAAACUCUUCUUCAGCUCUUUGAAGCAAACUCUGAAACUCAGGGUGAUCCAACCAUGAUAUUGGAAUAAUAUAUCUGCCUCUGUUCUCCCCUACGUAGACAGCGAAGUGACCUUUUGGUACAUCAUCAGGAAGCCCCUGUUGCUCAUCAUACACUUGUUUCUUUCUCUUGAGAAUUUGUUUGAGAGCUGCUGUUUGGGGUAACUUGUUGGAUUUUCUUAUGGCCAUGUUUAAUUUUGGUGGUGAGGGAAAAAAGAGAGGGCUAAAGAAAAGAGAAGUGCAAGUAGUGGAGAAGGAUUGAAG
RNAcentral lists this unclassified non-coding RNA (345 nucleotides) under Hevea brasiliensis (rubber tree). The record is from RNAcentral. Lineage: Eukaryota; Viridiplantae; Streptophyta; Magnoliopsida; Malpighiales; Euphorbiaceae.